Coregonus clupeaformis (lake whitefish) is the source of this 219-nucleotide long non-coding RNA. RefSeq lists it as uncharacterized. The record is from RefSeq and is a predicted model, not a curated record. The transcript is spliced from 3 exons. NCBI's taxonomy places the organism in Eukaryota, Metazoa, Chordata, Actinopteri, Salmoniformes, Salmonidae.
CCCCUUUCCCUUCCGAUUCCCCUCCCAGUCCCCCUCCACCUUACCACUCCACCCAGGACCAGGACCAGACCCCUGACAGCACUCCUCAGGAGUUUGAGGAGGAGUUUGUGGAGGAGCAAAAUAAUGCUGCAGAUGUGCCCCAGUUGCGGCGUUACUUUGAAAACCAAGGGACAACCAACUUCUCUCUGAGGCUGGCCGGUAUCAGACGUGCUAUGGAGG